Molecule: ribosomal RNA, 497 nt
Filed under: uncultured bacterium
Lineage: Bacteria
Description: partial 16S ribosomal RNA
Rfam family: Bacterial small subunit ribosomal RNA
Source: RNAcentral
GAUGAACGCUGGCGGCGUGCCUAAUACAUGCCAGUCGAGCGAACAGAUAAGGAGCUUGCUCCUUUGACGUUAGCGGCGGACGGGUGAGUAACACGUGGGUAACCUACCUAUAAGACUGGGAUAACUUCGGGAAACCGGAGCUAAUACCGGAUAAUAUUUCGAACCGCAUGGUUCGAUAGUGAAAGAUGGUUUUGCUAUCACUUAUAGAUGGACCCGCGCCGUAUUAGCUAGUUGGUAAGGUAACGGCUUACCAAGGCGACGAUACGUAGCCGACCUGAGAGGGUGAUCGGCCACACUGGAACUGAGACACGGUCCAGACUCCUACGGGAGGCAGCAGUAGGGAAUCUUCCGCAAUGGGCGAAAGCCUGACGGAGCAACGCCGCGUGAGUGAUGAAGGUCUUCGGAUCGUAAAACUCUGUUAUUAGGGAAGAACAUACGUGUAAGUAACUGUGCACGUCUUGACGGUACCUAAUCAGAAAGCCACGGCUAACUACGUG